Molecule: transfer RNA, 70 nt
Filed under: Burkholderia pseudomallei 1106b
Lineage: Bacteria; Pseudomonadati; Pseudomonadota; Betaproteobacteria; Burkholderiales; Burkholderiaceae
Description: partial tRNA-Ala
Rfam family: tRNA
About the family: Transfer RNA (tRNA) molecules are approximately 80 nucleotides in length. Their secondary structure includes four short double-helical elements and three loops (D, anti-codon, and T loops). Further hydrogen bonds mediate the characteristic L-shaped molecular structure. tRNAs have two regions of fundamental functional importance: the anti-codon, which is responsible for specific mRNA codon recognition, and the 3' end, to which the tRNAs corresponding amino acid is attached (by aminoacyl-tRNA synthetases). tRNAs cope with the degeneracy of the genetic code in two manners: having more than one tRNA (with a specific anti-codon) for a particular amino acid; and 'wobble' base-pairing, i.e. permitting non-standard base-pairing at the 3rd anti-codon position.
Source: RNAcentral
GGGGGUAUAGCUCAGCUGGGAGAGCGCUUGCAUGGCAUGCAAGAGGUCAGCGGUUCGAUCCCGCUUACCU